CCUACGGGUGGCAGCAGUGAGGAAUAUUGGUCAAUGGACGAGAGUCUGAACCAGCCAAGUAGCGUGAAGGAUGACUGCCCUAUGGGUUGUAAACUUCUUUUAUAUGGGAAUAAAAUGUUCCACGUGUGGGAUUUUGUAUGUACCAUAUGAAUAAGGAUCGGCUAACUCCGUGCCAGCAGCCGCGGUAAUACGGAGGAGCCGAGCGUUAUCCGGAUUUAUUGGGUUUAAAGGGAGCGUAGGUGGAUUGUUAAGUCAGUUGUGAAAGUUUGCGGCUCAACCGUAAAAUUGCAGUUGAAACUGGCAGUCUUGAGUACAGUAGAGGUGGGCGGAAGUCGUGGUGUAGCGGUGAAAUGCUUAGAUAUCACGAAGAACUCCGAUUGCGAAGGCAGUUCACUGGACUGCAACUGACACUGAGGCUCGAAAGUGUGGGUAUCAAACAGGAUUAGAUACCCGAGUAGUC
RNAcentral lists this ribosomal RNA (460 nucleotides) under uncultured bacterium. Its description in RNAcentral is "partial 16S ribosomal RNA". It matches the Rfam family "Bacterial small subunit ribosomal RNA", at positions 338 to 795 of the family's 1533-position model. The record is from RNAcentral.